Cucurbita moschata (crookneck pumpkin) is the source of this 832-nucleotide long non-coding RNA. RefSeq lists it as uncharacterized. The transcript is spliced from 4 exons. The record is from RefSeq and is a predicted model, not a curated record. NCBI's taxonomy places the organism in Eukaryota, Viridiplantae, Streptophyta, Magnoliopsida, Cucurbitales, Cucurbitaceae.
AGAAAAUAAAAUAGAAAGGGAAAGAAGGUACUAGAGAGAAGGAGAAGUAACAACCACAUUCCGAUCCGGCCACAAGGAGUCUGAUUCCAGCCGAGAUUUCUUCAAAAAUCCUUCACAAAACCUAUAGAAAGCAUUCUAUACCAUUGAAUCGUCCAAAACCGUCAAAGAACGAAGAAAAUCCAUAGAGAGGAUUUCACUCAUAAUCCGUGAAGGAAGUCUUGAUCAAUUCAGAUCGAAAAUAGGAGUUCCAGCAGUCACCAAAUUGAUAGAUGAAAGGAAGAAGAUGAACGAUAGAGGGACGUGUGUCAAGCAAGGAGAGAGUCACGCGUCGCUGGAAGGUGGGACACGUGUCAAGUGUGUAAUGGCGGAGGAAACUAACGGAAAAAUCUUGCAUUGGGUAGGAUUUGAAGGCUCGCGCCCGCAACUAAACUCGUGAACCCACGUGUCGACCGACCCAAACCCGUCUCCGCAUUCGCCACGCGUUAGCAUGAGAAAAAUCGUAGGAAUCCACGCACGUCCAAAUUCAAACGCAUGCCCUGACUCUCAGUGGACCAAUCAGCCCUCGCCAUGUGGGGACACCUCAUCGCACAACUCCAUCCCCUCUCUGUGCGCGUGGGAGACCCCUCCGGUGCGUGGGGUGCGUGAACCAAUGCGACCUAUCAGUGAACAUCCAAGAAAUUUGGAGCUCACAAUUAGCUAAAAAGUAAGUUUUGAAGAGAACGCUUCAUUCCAGUAAGUAACCACAUGGAAUUAGAAAGUAAUACAUGUAGGGUGUGCUUGGUUUUGCAUGCAUGCUAGAAAAAAUUACGCCGGGGUGUGGCUAAAUCUAAUG